CAUUCCACGAAUCCCCACGAUCCCGCUGGAUUUCUCCCCCUCCCGCGGAUCCUUUCCCGAAGGAUUCAUCCCUUUGACUCCGGGAAGGCAGGAAGGGCUCCCCUCCCCUGCUCCCCGGCACUCGGAAUGUCAUCCCAAAUGUCACCGCGCUCGGAACGCCGCAGCCCAACGCUCCGGGGAGUUCGGAUCCAGCCAGAAUCCGAGGGGACGGAUGCGCUUCCAGAGCCGGAGCCUUGGGAUGGGGUCAUCCAUCAUCCUGAUUCCCUGAUCCCAGCAGGGCGUGGGGAGCAGGGCGGGAAUAAACAUGGGAAUCAAAAUAGGAAUAAAAAUAGGGAUAAAAAUGGGAAUAAAGAUGGGAAUAAACAUGGGAACAAAAAUAGAAAUAAAAAUAGGGAUAAAAAUGGGAAUAAAAAUGGGAAUAAACAUGGGAAUCAAAAUGGGAAUAAACAUGGGAAUAAACAUGGGAACAAAAAUAGAAAUAAAAAUAGGGAUAAAAAUGGGAAUAAACAUGGGAAUAAACAUGGGAAUCAAAAUAGGAAUAAAAAUAAGGAUGAAAAUGGGAAUAAAAUUGGGAAUAAACAUGGGAAUAAAAAUGGGAAUAAAAAUGGGAACAAAAAUAGGAAUCAAAAUAGGAAUAAACAUGGGAAUAAACAGGGGAAUAAACAUGGGAAUAAAAAUGGGAAUAAACAUGGGAAUAAAAAUGGGAAUAAAAAUAGGAAUCAAAAUAGGAAUAAACAUGAGAAUAAAAAUGGGAAUAAACAUGGGAAUAAACAUGGGAAUAAAAAUGGGAAUGAAAAUAGGAAUAAAAAUGGCAAUAAGAAUGGGAAUAAAAAUAGGAAUAAAAAUGGGAACUCUGCAUUAUCCAGAGCUGAAGGAAUCAUCCAGAGCGCACGAUGUUGGCUCCAUCCCGGUUUUCCAUGGCUGUUGGCACCGGGACGGAGCCAACGAGGAGUUGGAUCCCUGGAAUCCUGUGCCGUGAGCUCGGAGAGCGUCGUAUCCCAGGAUUCCUUCUCUGGAGAUGUGGGGCUGCUGCUCCCAUCCCUGCCCUUCCCCAAACACUUCCAAGGAAUUAUUCCCAAGAAGGGAAUCCCAAUGGAAACCCCUUAUCUGGGAAAGCAAAGGGUAGGAGUGCGUCAUUCCAUGGAUCUCAGAGAUCCUGGGAUUUGUGUGGGUUUUCUGCCAAUAAUUUCCCAUCCAUCAUCCAUCCAUCAUCCAUCAUCCAUCCAUCAUCCAUCNNNNNNNNNNNNNNNNNNNNNNNNNNNNNNNNNNNNNNNNNNNNNNNNNNNNNN
RNAcentral lists this long non-coding RNA (1289 nucleotides) under Parus major (Great Tit). Its description in RNAcentral is "lncRNA (ENSPMJG00000007406.1)". Lineage: Eukaryota; Metazoa; Chordata; Aves; Passeriformes; Paridae. The record is from RNAcentral.